UCCUUCUUCUUCUUCUUCUUCUUCCUGCCCGCGUGCAGGUAGUUUAUGUGACUAGCAGAACUUCAAUAGUUUCUGUAACUGCUAAACUAUAAUCUCAGUAGUCCGAAUAUUAGUUACUCCUUUAGGUAAACAUAACCAUUUACGAUAAAAUGUAUUCCCGGUAACAGACUGCUCCGCUCCGCUGUGACGAAGCUGCACAGACGAACAUCACCGGGGAAAUACUGGAUUUAUGCGCCGGUUUAGUCGCGGGAAAACGUGGAUCCGGAGGAGGAGCGGACAUAUCACAUAAUAAGAGUACUUGAGAAACAACGUUUGCUUCGAGUUAACAGGAAAUUCUCCUCCUGCUCCUGUAAAGACAGUGUAGGAGGAGGUGCAUCAGCAGUCAGCUGGACCUUCACCACCAGCAGCUGUUCCCUGCAGUGCUGACGUACAGCUGCUGUGUGACAGAAGGUGCUGGCUCAGUUGAAGGGCCGCAUGCUGGGCAACAGCACCGGCUGCCUUCGCUCCUUCCUGGUUGUGUGGUACACCUCAAAUCUGGUGGAAGUUGAAGACUCCAGGAGUCCAGCUGCCCCCUCCUCCCGAUGAGCUGAGGGCGAAGGUGACUUCCAUCCACCAAGGUCGACGGCAGGCUGGGAGGAGCAGACACUGGUUCUUCUCAGUGGGUGACAGGACGACCCUGAUGAGCCUGACGAGGACGAUGACCAGCUGGAGGAGGCAGUUGAUGAAAACCUGUGGAUUCUUUGGAUCCCUCUCAGCAGCUCUGAGGGCCUCAACCCCGGCCCUCAGAACCAGAACCAGUCUCCAGCUGUUGGUGGUGAACCAGUGCACCGUCUCUCAGUGACGGACGUUUCACAGCUGCUCAAGAGCUGGGCUUUCCUGGUCUGCUCCCGCUGCAGCUGCUGCUGCUGCUGCGGACUGAGGAUGAUCAUGAAGAUGGACCACAGACAGCUGAGGAGGACAGGUGGGGAGAGCGUGAGCUACUGUCCUGUGGCAGCUGGAGGACUGAGCCCAGAGGAGGGGCUGUCCGCUCUGAACACUAAACAUGUUGUUACAUGAUCUGACCUCUGACCCUCUUUUACAAUCCUGUACAUAGUUUGUUUCUGUUGUAUUUGAACACAUUGAAGCGCUGAGCUGCACUUUAACAAGUAAAUACUGACACUCUAAUAUGUAAACACAGACAAACUCUGGACACAGGUUUUAAUAAAGAUCAGUUUCAGGCUGAAACUCAGAGAAAAACAUGUUUUUUCAACUGAAGCUUCAUGUCGACAUCGUCUGAGUGAAAAAGUUGGAAAAUGAAUCUUGUUGUUUUUGUUGUAAUGUUUUUAUUGACACUUUUACCUCCAGUAAAUCAACAUGAAUAUCAGGAAAACACUUCCCGCAGUGUCCUUCAAAAUAAAACUUGCUGUAAAACGUG
Molecule: long non-coding RNA, 1414 nt
Organism: Seriola aureovittata
Lineage: Eukaryota; Metazoa; Chordata; Actinopteri; Carangiformes; Carangidae
Exons: 6
Source: RefSeq, a predicted model, not a curated record